GAUGAACGCUGGCGGCGUGCCUAAUACAUGCAAGUCGAGCGAACGGACGAGAAGCUUGCUUCUCUGAUGUUAGCGGCGGACGGGUGAGUAACACGUGGAUAACCUACCUAUAAGACUGGGAUAACUUCGGGAAACCGGAGCUAAUACCGGAUAAUAUUUUGAACCGCAUGGUUCAAAAGUGAAAGACGGUCUUGCUGUCACUUAUAGAUGGAUCCGCGCUGCAUUAGCUAGUUGGUAAGGUAACGGCUUACCAAGGCAACGAUGCAUAGCCGACCUGAGAGGGUGAUCGGCCACACUGGAACUGAGACACGGUCCAGACUCCUACGGGAGGCAGCAGUAGGGAAUCUUCCGCAAUGGGCGAAAGCCUGACGGAGCAACGCCGCGUGAGUGAUGAAGGUCUUCGGAUCGUAAAACUCUGUUAUUAGGGAAGAACAUAUGUGUAAGUAACUGUGCACAUCUUGACGGUACCUAAUCAGAAAGCCACGGCUAACUACGUGCCAGCAGCCGCGGUAAUACGUAGGUGGCAAGCGUUAUCCGGAAUUAUUGGGCGUAAAGCGCGCGUAGGCGGUUUUUUAAGUCUGAUGUGAAAGCCCACGGCUCAACCGUGGAGGGUCAUUGGAAACUGGAAAACUUGAGUGCAGAAGAGGAAAGUGGAAUUCCAUGUGUAGCGGUGAAAUGCGCAGAGAUAUGGAGGAACACCAGUGGCGAAGGCGACUUUCUGGUCUGUAACUGACGCUGAUGUGCGAAAGCGUGGGGAUCAAACAGGAUUAGAUACCCUGGUAGUCCACGCCGUAAACGAUGAGUGCUAAGUGUUAGGGGGUUUCCGCCCCUUAGUGCUGCAGCUAACGCAUUAAGCACUCCGCCUGGGGAGUACGACCGCAAGGUUGAAACUCAAAGGAAUUGACGGGGACCCGCACAAGCGGUGGAGCAUGUGGUUUAAUUCGAAGCAACGCGAAGAACCUUACCAAAUCUUGACAUCCUUUGACAACUCUAGAGAUAGAGCCUUCCCCUUCGGGGGACAAAGUGACAGGUGGUGCAUGGUUGUCGUCAGCUCGUGUCGUGAGAUGUUGGGUUAAGUCCCGCAACGAGCGCAACCCUUAAGCUUAGUUGCCAUCAUUAAGUUGGGCACUCUAAGUUGACUGCCGGUGACAAACCGGAGGAAGGUGGGGAUGACGUCAAAUCAUCAUGCCCCUUAUGAUUUGGGCUACACACGUGCUACAAUGGACAAUACAAAGGGCAGCGAAACCGCGAGGUCAAGCAAAUCCCAUGAAGUUGUUCUCAGUUCGGAUUGUAGUCUGCAACUCGACUACAUGAAGCUGGAAUCGCUAGUAAUCGUAGAUCAGCAUGCUACGGUGAAUACGUUCCCGGGUCU
Molecule: ribosomal RNA, 1372 nt
Filed under: uncultured bacterium
Lineage: Bacteria
Description: bacterial SSU rRNA
Rfam family: Bacterial small subunit ribosomal RNA
Source: RNAcentral